RNAcentral lists this ribosomal RNA (474 nucleotides) under uncultured bacterium. Its description in RNAcentral is "bacterial SSU rRNA". It matches the Rfam family "Bacterial small subunit ribosomal RNA", at positions 335 to 801 of the family's 1533-position model. The record is from RNAcentral.
ACUCCUACGGGAGGCAGCAGUAGGGAAUCUUCCACAAUGGGCGCAAGCCUGAUGGAGCAACACCGCGUGAGUGAAGAAGGGUUUCGGCUCGUAAAGCUCUGUUGUUAAAGAAGAACACGUAUGAGAGUAACUGUUCAUACGUUGACGGUAUUUAACCAGAAAGUCACGGCUAACUACGUGCCAGCAGCCGCGGUAAUACGUAGGUGGCAAGCGUUAUCCGGAUUUAUUGGGCGUAAAGAGAGUGCAGGCGGUUUUCUAAGUCUGAUGUGAAAGCCUUCGGCUUAACCGGAGAAGUGCAUCGGAAACUGGAUAACUUGAGUGCAGAAGAGGUAGUGGAACUCCAUGUGUAGCGGUGGAAUGCGUAGAUAUAUGGAAGAACACCGAGUGGCGAAGGCGGCUACCUGGUCUGCAACUGACGCUGAGACUCGAAAGCAUGGGUAGCGAACAGGAUUAGAUACCCCGUGUAGGAUAGCG